Molecule: long non-coding RNA, 6412 nt
Filed under: Brassica napus (rape)
Lineage: Eukaryota; Viridiplantae; Streptophyta; Magnoliopsida; Brassicales; Brassicaceae
Description: long non-coding RNA (BNAP_LNC013251)
Source: RNAcentral
AUCUAAGUUCUAGGAACCAAGCCAAGCAUUGUAGAAUCAAUCCGUUAUAUGCUCGGUUAUGAUUAAUGCUUAUCUGGUUGUGGUUUCAGGAACUAGGGAUGGUUCUGGUCAAGCCAAGGAGCCGUGAAGGCUCGGUCAGUGAGAGGCUGUGUAACGUGUGGUUAGAUGAUGCUAAGGAUGAACUGGGGAUUGUCUAUGAGACUGUUAAGAAGUUGUGUAUUGAAUCUCAUGUUUCUAAGUAAUACAAAGUUUAUACAUUAUUAUUCCGCUGUGCAAUCUAUCCCUUUGCUUAUGAACCUCAUAUUCGAAUAUGACUUAGUAAAGAAAAGACUUAGAAUUAAUCAGACAAGCAAAGAAAUUAAUAAGUAAGCAUUCGUAUCCAGUUGGGUCGAGAGACCAGGAACGGGUCUUACAAGUUGGUAUCAGAGCAUGCUUGAUUCUAGGAUAGUUGGGUUAUGUAGUCCACACACACACACACGCAGCCAGCUGAUUAUGUCUUACGGUGAGGUUUGAUUUCUUAGUCUAGGGAUUGUUUUGUUCUGUUUAUGGUUAGUAUGUUUUGUACUAACAUUGUCUGAAUCCUUAGGCUGGAAAAAGAAAAUCGGGAAAGUCCCGAAGAAGUAAGAUAAUGGCCGGUCAGUCUAGCCAAGUGGCCAUGGACGGAACUAAUCUGUCCGGUUUGCAAACCGAUCCGGCCGCGGCUAACGCUGAAGAUGUGUUGCCAACUGAUCAGGCUAACCUUACGGGGACGCAACAGGAUGGUCAGGAACAUCAGGAGAGUGAUGAGGAAGUGGAAUCCUCGAACGCUAACCGUGAUGGUGGCCAGCGUGAGAAAGUGGUCAAUGGUACGGCCAAUGUAACCGCAACACUGUCCAAAGAGGACUUGUUAGAGGCCAUGAAGGGAAUGGGGACUCAGGUGGCGGCUAUGGCCCAACUGUUCACGCCAUUAGUGAACUCCUCGGUUGGCCAAGCUAUGCCUGUGGCUACGACCGCCCCCAACACCAAUGGUCCAGUUGUGGAAACAGUCGAGGUGAUCGAGAUUGAUCCACCAGAAAGGACUGGGAAAAAGGUGGACUAUCUGAGUUUGCUUCAGCACAUCUCCCGUCUAGGGACGAAGCAUUUCUCAGGAAGCACCGAUCCUAUUGAGGCAGACGAGUGGAGGAGUAGGCUAGUCCGAAACUUCAGCUCAACUCGUUGUCCCGAGGAUUACAAGAGAGACAUUGCGGUUAACUUCCUGGAAGGGGACGCGCAUAAUUGGUGGCUGGCUGUGAACAAGCGCACCAAUGGAAGUCUCCAGAGUUUUGUGGAUUUUGAAGAUGAAUUCAACCGCAAAUACUUUCCUGCAGAGGCUUGGGACCGUCUGGAACAUAGAUUCCUAGACCUUACCCAAGGCCGCAGGGCCGUACGUGAGUACGAAGAGGAGUUCAACCGGCUCCGACGGUUUGUUGGAAGGGAACUUGAGGACGAGACAGUCCAGGUUCGUCGGUUCAUUCGAGGCUUAAGGCCGGAGCUGAGAACCCACUGUUCGAUCCGCACCUUCAGCACCGCCGGAGAGCUGGUUGAACGUGUAGCUAUUUUAGAGUCUAACUUGGCCGAAGAAGCCAAGCUUAAGACGAAGUCGCAGUCUGUCCCGACGGGUAAGACUAACGACCGAAAGAGGAAGUGGGACCAGGUUGACGGAGGCAAGGCCUCUAGUGGACGACCUGAAUGUCCCAAGUGUGGUAAGAACCAUCCAGCUGAAUGCUGGAAAGCCAUGGGAGCUUGUGUGAGAUGUGGCAGCUUGGAUCAUUCCAUCCGAGAUUGCACUCGACCAAGCCGGACUCAGGGCCAAUCCAGUGGCAGUGGCUCUCGGACUUGUUUCCAUGGCGGCCAAAGCGGACACUUCCAAAGUGAAUGCCCUAAGCGGCAAGGAGGACAAGGGAAGGGUCGUAGAGACACGGGAAACUCGACCCAGAGCAGGCCGACCACAACACCAAGGGUGUAUGAGCUGUCCCGAGACGACGGCGCUUAUGGAUCGUUUGAUUCGAUCUCUGGUAAUUUCUGAAUUGAUCUGUUACAUUCAAUAGAAUGCUUGGUCUGGAACCUAGAGUGGCUAGGGGAUUCUGAUGUGGGUCUCUUAUAGGGACCCUCAUGAUUGGUGGUAUUGAAACCCACGUACUUUUCGACACAGGGGCUACACAUAGUUUUGUGAGCCCGGAACUGGUCGGAAAGGGUCUGUUCUGCCUCUGUUCGGGGGAUAAUUCGAGACUAGUGAGGGCGGCCGGUGGGCAAAUCAUGCACUCACUAGGGCUCAUGACUAAUAUCCCAGUAAUGAUCCAGGAGAAAAAUCUGCCUGUAGAUCUGAUUGUGUUGCGCCUACAGAAUCACGAUGUGAUCCUAGGCAUGGAUUGGUUGGGAAAGUAUCGGGCCACUCUCUACUGCCACAGAGGAUGUGUACGGUUGGAGACUGGACCUCACCCGAUCCAGUACCAAAGUCUGAAUAUGAGUCCGGCUCUGGAUAGAGUAGUGGUGUCAGCAAUCCGAGCAGAACGGAUGCUUAGACAGGGUUGUGAAGCAUAUUUGACCACAAUUACCACUAUGGAGCACGGCAGGUCUGAUGAUCAGAAAGAUCUAUCUGAGGACCCGUUGGUGUCUGAGUUACCACUAUGGAGCACGGCAGGUCUGAUGAUCAGAAAGGGCUUUCCAAAAGGCUUUAGGAACAAGAGUGAACAUGAGUACAACCUAUCACCCACAGACGGAUGGACAGUCUGAACGAACGAUCCAGACAUUGGAAGAUAUGUUGCGAGCAAGUGUUCUAGACUGGGGUGAUUCCUUGGAGAAACAUCUACCUCUGGUAGAAUUUGCUUACAACAAUAGCUUCCAUAGUAGUAUUUGCAUGUCGCCAUACGAAGCUCUGUAUUGGCAUCAAUGCAGGACACCCUUAUGCUGGACCCAAGUUGGGGAACGCAGCAUGAUUGGUCCGGAGAUUGUCGAAGAGACAACCGAGAAGAUCAAGUUCUUGAGGGACAAGAUGAGACAGGCACAAGACCGCCAAAAGAACUAUGCAGAUCUAAGAAGGAAAUAUCUCGAGUUUCAAGUAGGUGACUUGGUGUAUCUAAAAAUGAUUACCUUCAAAGGACGAGUCCGGAUUUCCGGAUUUCAAGGUCAUUGAAAGAGUUGGGAUGGUGGCCUACAAGUUGGACUUGCCGGCCAAGAUGGACGCAUUUCAUAAUGUGUUCCAGGUCUCCCAACUUCGGAAAUGUUUGACGGACCAAGACAUCGCUCUUCCUGCCAUUCCAGACGAUCUUGGUAAGAACCUAACCUUGGAAACGAGGCCAGUUCGAAUCAUAGAUAGGAUGGAAAAAGCAAUAAGGAAGAAGACGGUCCAGAUGGUCAAGGUCGUUUGGGACAGUAAUGGUCAGGAUAUAAUCACUUGGGAAAGCCAAGCUAGAAUGAAAGCAGAGUACCCAGAGUGGUUGGAUCAGUUUGUUUCUGAGGAAGCAUUCGAUUCGGAUUCAAGGACGAAUCCAUCCCAAGGGGGGGAGACUUGUCACGCCGCCAGUCCUGAAUAGGAUUGUUGGGACGGCCAUGGUUCUAGGAAACGGGCAAGCCAGUCUUAGGACAUCAAGGCAAGCAUUCCAUGGUCGAGAAAGAAGGUUAAGGACAUAAGGAAACUUAGACUUAACCUUAUACAAGCUAAGAGACAGCUAGGACGAGUAAGACGGUAACUGGACAAAGUGGACGAGUAGAGAGACAGCUAGGACGAGUAAAAGGAAACUUAGACUUAACCUUAUACAAGCUAAGAGACAGCUAGGAUGAGUAAGACGGUAACUGGACAAAGUGGACGAGUAGCUCGGCCAGCUCAAUGAAGCUAGGUUCAGUUCACUCUAGCUCAGUCCCUACUAAGUCAGCUCCACUAGCUGGACUACUAGCUCAUUCAGCUCAGACAGCUGAGAGUCAGCUCAUCUCAGCUAGACGGACUGUCCGGGCUUUAGGCUGAUGGUCCGGGUCCGGGUCAGUGGCGGGCUGUGAGGUCCGGCCACGAGGCCAUGGGCUGUUGCGUCUUUGGACAAGGCCGUGGGCUAAGUCCAGGAGGCCUGGGGCGUGGGUUGGGCUUGUGACCGACCCCGAACCCAAUCAGAAAGGGCGAAGGGAUGCAAGUGGCCAAAAGGGGACAACCCUUGGCCGAUGGUGCCCAUUCGCUAGCAAGUCGUGCCUGUUCGUGGGGCAAGACUUACCCCCUCGUUUCCUAUAAAUAUGGGGGCUCUCUGGUCGAUUUCAAUAUCCAAUUCCAGAGUAAAAUACUCAGAGAAAAACGUAGAUAGAAAGAAAGAGAGAAAGAGAGAGUUCCAGCCAAGAGAAAGGCCGUGGACUGUUUGGGUGAUUUUAUCCCACGUGGGCUGUCUGUUCAGUACACACAGGACGUGUGACGCCCCCAAUCCUGAAUAGGAUUGUUGGGACGGCCAUGGUUCGAGGAAACGUGCAAGCCAAUCUUAGGACAUCAAGGCAAGCGUUGCAUGGUCGAGAAAGAAGGUUAAGGACAUAAGGAAACUUAGACUUAACCUUAUACAAGCUAAGAGACAGCUAGGAUGAGUAAGACGGUAACUGGACAAAGUGGACGAGUAGCUCGGCCAGCUCAAUGAAGCUAGGUUCAGUUCACUCCAGCUCAGUCCCUACUAAGUCAGCUCCACUAGCUGUACUACUAGCUCACUCAGCUGAGACAGCUGAGUGUCAGCUCAUCUCAGCUAGACGGACUGUCCGGGCUUUAGGCCGAUGGUCCGGGUCCGGGUCAGUGGCGGGCUGUGAGGUCCGGCCAUGAGGCCAUGGGCUGUUGGGUCUUUGGACAAGGCCGUGUGCUAAGUCCAGGAGGCCUGGGGCGUGGGUUGGGCUUGUGACCGACCCCAAACCCGAUCAGAAAGGGCGAAGGGAUGCAAGUGGCCGAAAGGGGACAAACCUUGGAUGAUGGUGCCCACUCGCUAGCAAGUCGUGCCUGUUCGUGGGGCAAGACUUACCCCCUCGUUUUCUAUAAAUAUGGGGGCUCUCUGGUCGAUUUCAUUAUCCAAUUCCAGAGUAAAAUACUCAGAGAAAACGUAGAGAGAAAGAAAGAGAGAAAGAGAGAGUUUCGGCCAAGAGAAAGGCCGAUUGUGGUGGUGAUGUGUUCCGGCGACUCUGAUCGUUUGAGAAGUAACUCCGGUCAAGAAUGGGAGAUCAAGACAAGGAGAAGAGCAUGGAGAACCCAGACGUGGUUCACAAGGUAUGUGAUGGGCCGUGGCUCUAUCAGACCGAACGGACAGUCCAUGCGACCGCACCGCGGCUAUGCUCGGUUCCUAAGUCCCAUCCGGCUCUCCUUAUCUGUUUCAAUUCGUUUCUCUUCUCUUCUCUCUGGUUAAACACAAAAGGUUGUGUUGGUUGAGUCCAAGGGACACAUCCCUAGACUUUGGCCGGACAUAAUCAAACUGCUAGCCUAGACACGGGUCGGUUAGUGGGAUGAUCCGUUCGCACCAAGACUGGGCAGUUAGGACGAACGGUUGGGAAUGACCCAAAGGGCACGAGUUGUCAAGAGUCAUGAAUGUCCAAGAGGAACAAAUGGCCAAAGGGUACAUGUUCCAAACGGUGUCUUUCGGGACAGGUUAGGACCGAUCCUUAUGGAUCAGCCUAUGGAUUGUCUAGUUAAGACAAGGUCACGGUUUGUCUAAGCCAAGGUAGAGUCGCAAGGUCUGACCAGUUGCUAAGCCUUCCGGAUUAGGGUUGAGGCUUACUAGGCCGAUUGGAUCCAGGCCUAAGGCCGGAUCAGGGAAGGGAGUCCGUUGGGCCAUUGAGCCGAACUCCAUUGGCUGGUUGCACCUAGAUUCUAUCUGGUUCGACGGAUUUGUCUUUGGGGACGAUCCAGAUCUCUUCGUGUGUUCUGUUUACCGAUUCUGGACGAUCUAUCUGAUUCUAAGUCAAGGGGUGGUUGGUUGAAUGACUUAGGAUAAGGUAGGUAGGUUAAUACGUUUUAUGAUUAUGUUGACUGAGCUUUAUCUAAGUUCUAGGAACCAAGCCAAGCAUUGUAGAAUCAAUCCGUUCUAUUCUCGGUUAUGAUUAAUGCUUAUCUGGUUGUGGUUUAAGGAACUAAGGAUGGGAUUUGGUAGAGCCAAGGAGCCGUGAAGGCUCGGUCAGUGAGAGGCUCUGUAACGUGUGGUUAGAUGAUGCUAGGGAUGAACUAGUGAUUGUCUAUGAGACUGUUAAGAAGUUGUGUAUUGAAUCUCAUGUUUCUAAGUAAUACAAAGUGUAUACAUUAUUAUUCCGCUGUGCAAUCUAUCCCUUUGUUUAUGAACCUCAUAUUCGAAUAUGACUUAGUAAAGAAAAGACUUAGAAUGAAUCAGACAAGCAAAGAAAUUAAUAAGUAAGCAUUCGUAUCCAGUUAGGUUGAGAGACCAGGAACGGGUCUUAC